GAUGAACGCUAGCGGCAGGCCUAACACAUGCAAGUCGAGGGAGAAGCCCUUCGGGGCAGAAACCGGCGCACGGGUGCGUAACGCGUAUGCAACCUACCUUUCACAGGGGGAUAGCCCGAAGAAAUUUGGAUUAAUACCCCAUAAUAUUAUUGGAUGGCAUCAUUUGAUAAUUAAAAUUACGAUGGUGAAAGAUGGGCAUGCGUCCUAUUAGCUAGUUGGAGUGGUAACGGCACCCCAAGGCUACGAUAGGUAGGGGUCCUGAGAGGGAGAUCCCCCACACUGGUACUGAGACAGGGACCAGACUCCUACGGGAGGCAGCAGUGAGGAAUAUUGGUCAAUGGUCGGAAGACUGAACCAGCCAUGCCGCGUGCAGGAAGAAUGCCCUUAUGGGUUGUAAAACUGCUUUUAUAUGGGAAGAAUAAAGGAAGUACG
Molecule: ribosomal RNA, 432 nt
Filed under: Capnocytophaga granulosa
Lineage: Bacteria; Pseudomonadati; Bacteroidota; Flavobacteriia; Flavobacteriales; Flavobacteriaceae
Description: bacterial SSU rRNA
Rfam family: Bacterial small subunit ribosomal RNA
Source: RNAcentral